GGAAGUCUAGCUGUUAGGGGUGCGGUGGGGGCUGUCCGGAUUGUGAGCACAGGUAUGUGUGCCACACUUGAAAGUCUGGCAGAGAAAGCGUGAGGCUCGAGGGUGCUCCGUUCGUUCCCUCCUUCCACAGAAAGUCUGGAGAGCUGACCUUGGGACAAGUCCUUCCUUUCCUCUGGUCGGUGCGUUGUUCAGUGGUCUGGACACUUGGUGAGCAAGACUGACAGGGUGUUUGACGUACUGGGCCUCACAGCCUAGUUGGAAAGGACAGAUAGGCAGCGACUAGUUACCUAGGAGAUACGUAAAAACUAUUUCGUGUUGGGUGCUGAGAAAUACGGCAUUUACUGAUAGACUUUGUGGCUUAGGCAGUGAUGUUGAAGCUGAGAGCAGAUGCCUACAAGAAAAGGAGGACUUGUGCGGGAGAGCGUUGGGACGGGGCAAGGGAGGAGUAUGGCCUGUCAGAGGAGCUGAAAGAGUGCCCUGGAGCCUGGGGCCGCGUAGGGACUGUAGGGGGGGGAAAACAAAACUUUUCGGUUAAGGCUGGCGCUUUCUAUAGGUUUUUGGAGACCAAGCGUGGUGAUUCGGAGCGUGGACUCUGGAGCCAGACUCUGUCAGAUGGAGCCUCCUACACACCUAGGCCACAUGGGACUAAUCUUCUGGGACCCCCGUUGUUGACUGAAACGUCCCGAUGUAGGGCAUGACUGAACUGCCCAACUCCAA
RNAcentral lists this long non-coding RNA (717 nucleotides) under Equus caballus (horse). RNAcentral describes it as "lncRNA (ENSECAG00000058412.1)". Lineage: Eukaryota; Metazoa; Chordata; Mammalia; Perissodactyla; Equidae. The record is from RNAcentral.